This 430-nucleotide ribosomal RNA is filed under the name Pseudomonadota bacterium. Its description in RNAcentral is "Proteobacteria bacterium partial 16S ribosomal RNA". It matches the Rfam family "Bacterial small subunit ribosomal RNA", at positions 355 to 776 of the family's 1533-position model. Lineage: Bacteria; Pseudomonadati; Pseudomonadota. The record is from RNAcentral.
UGGGGAAUAUUGGACAAUGGGCGAAAGCCUGAUCCAGCCAUGCCGCGUGUGUGAAGAAGGUCUUCGGAUUGUAAAGCACUUUAAGCGAGGAGGAGGGUACUGGUAUUAAUACUACCAGGUACUGGACGUUACUCGCAGAAUAAGCACCGGCUAACUCUGUGCCAGCAGCCGCGGUAAUACAGAGGGUGCGAGCGUUAAUCGGAUUUACUGGGCGUAAAGCGUGCGUAGGCGGCUAAUUGAGUCGGAUGUGAAAGCCCCGGGCUCAACCUGGGAACUGCAUCCAAAACUGGCGAGCUAGAGUAGGGCAGAGGGUGGUGGAAUUUCCUGUGUAGCGGUGAAAUGCGUAGAUAUAGGAAGGAACACCAGUGGCGAAGGCGACCACCUGGGCUCAUACUGACACUGAGGUGCGAAAGCGUGGGGAGCAAACAGG